Molecule: ribosomal RNA, 447 nt
Filed under: uncultured bacterium
Lineage: Bacteria
Description: bacterial SSU rRNA
Rfam family: Bacterial small subunit ribosomal RNA
Source: RNAcentral
GGCCAGACUCCUACGGGAGGCAGCAGUGGGGAAUAUUGCACAAUGGGGGAAACCCUGAUGCAGCGACGCCGCGUGAGUGAAGAAGUAUUUCGGUAUGUAAAGCUCUAUCAGCAGGGAAGAAAAUGACGGUACCUGACUAAGAAGCCCCGGCUAACUACGUGCCAGCAGCCGCGGUAAUACGUAGGGGGCAAGCGUUAUCCGGAUUUACUGGGUGUAAAGGGAGCGUAGACGGCAUGGCAAGUCAGAUGUGAAAGCCCGGGGCUCAACCCCGGGACUGCAUUUGAAACUGUCAGGCUGGAGUGCAGGAGAGGUAAGUGGAAUUCCUAGUGUAGCGGUGAAAUGCGUAGAUAUUAGGAGGAACACCAGUGGCGAAGGCGGCUUACUGGACUGUAACUGACGUUGAGGCUCGAAAGUGUGGGGAGCAAACAGGAUUAGAUACCCCAGUAC